CCCUUAGAUGUCCUGGGCCGCACGCGCGUUACACUGAUGCAUUCAACGAGCUUAUAACCUUGGCCGAGAGGCCUGGGCAAUCUUGUUAACGUGCAUCGUGAUAGGGAUAGAUUAUUGAAAUUAUUAAUCUUGAACGAGGAAUUCCUAGUAAACGCAGAUCAUCAAUCUGCAUUGAUUACGUCCCUGCCCUUUGUACACACCGCCCGUCGCACCUACCGAUUGGAUGGUCCGGUGAAGCCUCGGGAUUGUGGUUCUUGCCGCUUUAUUGUGGCGUGACCGCGAGAACUUGUCUAAACCUUAUCAUCUAGAGGAAGGUGAANUCGUAGCA
Molecule: ribosomal RNA, 328 nt
Filed under: uncultured eukaryote
Lineage: Eukaryota
Description: partial 18S ribosomal RNA
Rfam family: Eukaryotic small subunit ribosomal RNA
Source: RNAcentral